RNAcentral lists this small RNA (155 nucleotides) under [Clostridium] cellulosi. RNAcentral describes it as "Clostridium cellulosi Magnesium sequence". It matches the Rfam family "M-box riboswitch aptamer (ykoK leader)". Rfam says of the family: M-box riboswitch, also know as ykoK leader is described as a metaloregulatory RNA that sense divalent metals and function as a genetic control element of genes related to divalent metal transport in bacteria. It was first reported upstream of the B.subtilis ykoK gene and genes with related functions in other bacteria. Phylogenetic analysis of the distribution of M-box RNAs across bacterial genomes revealed that M-box riboswitches are most often employed for the regulation of Mg2+ transporter genes Lineage: Bacteria; Bacillati; Bacillota; Clostridia; Eubacteriales; Oscillospiraceae. The record is from Rfam by way of RNAcentral.
UAAAUCUCUCGGUAGGUGAGGUUACUUAAAGGAUAUGGAUUGAUGCCGUGAAGAGCUGGAGACAGUUCCAACUGGUUAACAGGUUUCGCCGUAUUAAGGCGUAACCCAUUUCAAUUUCACCGCCUUUAAGUGCUAAAACUCGUACGAGCAGUAUC